This is a long non-coding RNA of Alosa sapidissima (American shad), 89 nucleotides long. RefSeq lists it as uncharacterized. The transcript has 3 exons. NCBI's taxonomy places the organism in Eukaryota, Metazoa, Chordata, Actinopteri, Clupeiformes, Clupeidae. The record is from RefSeq and is a predicted model, not a curated record.
UGAAAUUCCAAGCAUGUAUGUAACAAAACUCACAAACAAGCAGAAAAAGAAAAUAAAGAAUUCCGAAAGUGCAGUAGGCAUUCUGAAAG